UGCAACCAACAUGCAUACGAGUGUGGCAGAUAAGGGUUUUACAAGGAGAUAAACAUAUCUACAUGAAGGUUACAGCAACUACACUUCCACACAUGACAUAGAUUAGCUACAAGCUGGAGUCAUCCUUAUCAUGCAUUUUGUCAAAGUGACAUAAAAGCACAAGGCACCAAAACCACAAAUAGUAUCCACCAAUAGAGGCAAAUUUCAACAAAUCCCAGAAGUAAAAAUUUAUAGCAGAAAAUCAUAAUCAA
Molecule: unclassified non-coding RNA, 251 nt
Filed under: Hevea brasiliensis (rubber tree)
Lineage: Eukaryota; Viridiplantae; Streptophyta; Magnoliopsida; Malpighiales; Euphorbiaceae
Source: RNAcentral